Molecule: ribosomal RNA, 1317 nt
Filed under: uncultured Alphaproteobacteria bacterium
Lineage: Bacteria; Pseudomonadati; Pseudomonadota; Alphaproteobacteria
Description: bacterial SSU rRNA
Rfam family: Bacterial small subunit ribosomal RNA
Source: RNAcentral
ACGUACGCUGGCGGCACGCCUAACACAUGCAAGUCGAACGAAGUAGCAAUACUUAGUGGCAGACGGGUGAGUAACAUGUAGGUAUCUGCCCUUUGGCCUGGAAUAACACGAGGAAACUUGUGCUAAUACCGGAUAAGUCUUUACGGAGAAAGCUUUAUGCACCAUUGGAUGAGCCUGCACUUGAUUAGUUUGUUGGUGGGGUAAUGGCCUACCAAGACUGUGAUCAAUAGCUGAUUUGAGAGGAUGAUCAGCCACAUUGGGACUGAGACACGGUCCAAACUCCUACGGGAGGCAGCAGUGGGGAAUCUUGCACAAUGGAGGAAACUCUGAUGCAGCGAUGCCGCGUGAGUGAAGAAGGCCUUUGGGUUGUAAAGCUCUUUCGUCGGGGAAGAAAAUGACUGUACCCGAAUAAGAAGGUCCGGCUAACUUCGUGCCAGCAGCCGCGGUAAUACGAAGGGACCUAGCGUAGUUCGGAAUUACUGGGCUUAAAGAGUUCGUAGGUGGUUGAAAAAGUUAGUGGUGAAAUCCCAGAGCUUAACUCUGGAACUGCCAUUAAAACUUUUCAGCUAGAGUAUGAUAGAGGAAAGCAGAAUUUCUAGUGUAGAGGUGAAAUUCGUAGAUAUUAGAAAGAAUACCAAUUGCGAAGGCAGCUUUCUGGAUCAUUACUGACACUGAGGAACGAAAGCAUGGGUAGCGAAGAGGAUUAGAUACCCUCGUAGUCCAUGCCGUAAACGAUGUGUGUUAGACGUUGGAAAUUUAUUUUCAGUGUCGCAGCGAAAGCGAUAAACACACCGCCUGGGGAGUACGACCGCAAGGUUAAAACUCAAAUGAAUUGACGGGGACCCGCACAAGUAGUGGAGCAUGUGGUUUAAUUCGAAGAUACGCGCAGAACCUUACCAACACUUGACAUGUUCGUCGCGACUCUAAGAGAUUAGAGUUUUCGGUUCGGCCGGACGAAACACAGGUGCUGCAUGGCUGUCGUCAGCUCGUGUCGUGAGAUGUUGGGUUAAGUCCCGCAACGAGCGCAACCCUCACUUUUAGUUGCCAUCAUUAAGUUGGGCACUCUGAAAGAACUGCCAGUGAUAAGCUGGAGGAAGGUGGGGAUGACGUCAAGUCCUCAUGGCCCUUACGUGUUGGGCUACACACGUGCUACAAUGGUAUCUACAACAGGAAGCAAGACUGCGAAGUUAAGCAAAUCCCUAAAAGAUACCUCAGUUCGGAUUGCACUCUGCAACUCGAGUGCAUGAAGCUGGAAUUACUAGUAAUCGUGGAUCAGCGUGCCACGGUGAAUGCGUUCCCGGGUCUUGUACACACCGC